This 335-nucleotide long non-coding RNA is filed under the name Naja naja (Indian cobra). RNAcentral describes it as "lncRNA (ENSNNAG00000018545.1)". The record is from RNAcentral. Lineage: Eukaryota; Metazoa; Chordata; Lepidosauria; Squamata; Elapidae.
CUUUUAUGCAAAUUCCCAGGGACUUUAACCUGAGAAAAUUUAGCAGCUGCUGGCUUGGUCUUAAUACACCUUGCCUCUCUGUAUGAUCGGGAACUAUCAGGAACUUGAUGAGCUGACAAAUGUGCUCCAUGCUUGCAACACAGCAGGGAAGAAAUUGCAGCACCUGGAAAUCCCCGUGGAAUGCAAGAGGAAGAAAAUUAGAGAAAGGAAAAUAAUUGAAGCUGGGAUUGAAAGAGCUGCUUCAAUCAGGAAUACGAAGGAUGGCGAAGGAACAGGAGGAGGAAAUAAUGCCAUAGAGAAAGUGAUCCCCCCGCCCCCGCAUAUACGGAAAAUGC